RNAcentral lists this long non-coding RNA (1447 nucleotides) under Mus musculus (house mouse). Its description in RNAcentral is "RIKEN cDNA 2500002B13 gene". The record is from RNAcentral. Lineage: Eukaryota; Metazoa; Chordata; Mammalia; Rodentia; Muridae.
UUUCUCGCCUCUAUUCUCUCCUGCGAGCAAGGGCUGGUUUUAGCUCCUCUUGUUUCGCAAAGUUAGUGUUCAGACCGCCAGCUGACUCCUGGGAAGAAGCAUUAAUGGAAUUUCCUCCAGUAUUUUCAUAGCAACCUUCAGAUGAAAGUGUAGAACUCUCAGCUCCUCCUGCAUCAUGACUGCCUGGGGCUGCCAUGUUCCUGCCUUGAUGAUAAUGGACUGAACCUCUAAACCUGACUGGUUGUUCUAUUUCUGAGAUCUCUGAGACCCAGCCCACCAGGAACACACAAAUGUGGAACCGAGAUAGGCUGAGGACUUAUUAAACAGAAUUCUGCUGUUCCUAUCCCAGGGUUGGACCAAUGUGUAGAAAAUUGCUUAUGGGAUUCUUUGAAUGACUUUUUCAUUGCGGGAAAUAUUAAAAAUGAACCUGCCAACCUUCCACACUCCUGCUUCUUUCAAGCCACCAACUCAAGAGAUCUGUCUCUGCCUCCUACGUGCUGGAAUCAAAGGUAUGUGACACCAUGCCUUGCUUGUCUUUUUAUGGACACUGAUUUUUAUCUACUUUUGAUAGCUGCUGAGGUAGGUUUAAAUCUGAGAAUCUGCCUAGCUUUUCCAUGGUGACGAUCCAUUUUAAGUUCUUACAAAUAACAACAGAGCUCUACUUUCUCUGUGUGUUUUCCAACAUUCCUAUUACCUACUUUUAAAAAUCAUAGUCAUCUUAGGAGAAGGGUUAUUUCGUGGGUUUUUAAAUUUUUCUCUUGGGGACCUAGGAUAAGUUUCCUUAAGCAAAGUGUUGCCAAAUGACUUCUGCAGCUUCUGUUUGUCACACUUUUAUUCUUUGUUUGGUUUUGUUUUUGUUUUUUGAGACUGUGUACUGGCUGGUUUUGUGUGUCAACUUGACUCAAGCUGGAGUUAUCACAGAGAAAGGAGCUUCCCUUGAGGAAAUGCCUCUAUAAAAUCCCGAUUAAUGAUCAAGGGGGAGAGUCCAGCCCAUGGAGGGUGGUGCCAUCCCUGGGCUGGUAGUCCUGGGUUCUAUAAGAAAGCAAGCUGGCAAGCCAGAGGAAGCAAUCCAGUAAGCAGCACCCCUCCAUGGCCUCUGCAUCAGCUCCUGCCUCCAGGUUCCUGCCUUGUGUGACUUCCUGUCCUGACUUCCUUUGGUGAUGAACAGCAAUGUGGAAACGAAGAUCCAUCUUUAAUAUGGGCCACACCUUCUUCUAGCAGCCUUAUAAAGGACAUGAAAAAAGAAUGCUUGCUUGCUCUUGCUCUUCCUAGAAAUUACUUCACUGCCAUUAGAGCCUACUUCUUCAGGAUUCUGCUUAUACUGAAAACCAUGUGGGACAUCCAGCCUUGUGGACUGAACAACUUCUGGCUUCUUGGACCUUUCACUGUUAGUCAGCCAUUGUUGGACCACAGCCUAUAAGUCGUUCUAAUAAAUCUCCUACAUAUA